UUGACAGUAUAACGUUGACCGGUGCUCAGUAGUUUCGGGAUUGGUCAAGUAUGGUGUAAACAAAUAUUAUUCAUGAAAUUGGGUGAUGUAAAUCAAUAUCGUCUUUCUGUUUGAAUUCUAUUAAAAAAUCCGUUAGUAUGUUGACGUGGCAUAUUGUUGUAGGUACCCCUCUCCAAUACUAUGAUGCCAUGUAAAUUAGAAUAACAAAAUUUUAAUUUUAAUUAGUCCUUGUAUUAAUUAAAUAGAAAAAAUAAAAAAUGAAAAAAAUAAAAUAAAAGCUUGAUCCCUUCCUUUCUUGCUGGGCAUCGUCUCGAGUCGCCGGAAAG
Molecule: long non-coding RNA, 326 nt
Filed under: Malus domestica (apple)
Lineage: Eukaryota; Viridiplantae; Streptophyta; Magnoliopsida; Rosales; Rosaceae
Description: long non-coding RNA (MDOM_LNC012557)
Source: RNAcentral